UCGGGAAUAUUGCGCAAUGGAGGAAACUCUGACGCAGUGACGCCGCGUGCAGGAAGAAGGUUUUCGGAUUGUAAACUGCUUUAGACAGGGAAGAAAAAGAACAGUACCUGUAGAAUAAGCUCCGGCUAACUACGUGCCAGCAGCCGCGGUAAUACGUAGGGAGCGAGCGUUAUCCGGAUUUAUUGGGUGUAAAGGGUGCGUAGACGGGAAGAUAAGUUAGUUGUGAAAUCCCUCGGCUCAACUGAGGAACUGCAACUAAAACUGUCAUUCUUGAGUACUGGAGGAAGGAAGUGGAAUUCCUAGUGUAGCGGUGAAAUGCGUAGAUAUUAGGAGGAACACCAGUGGCGAAGGGCGACUUUUCUGGACAGAAACUGACGUUGAGGCACGAAAGUGUGGGGAGCAAACAGGAUUAGAUACC
This 418-nucleotide ribosomal RNA is filed under the name uncultured bacterium. RNAcentral's name for it is "bacterial SSU rRNA". It matches the Rfam family "Bacterial small subunit ribosomal RNA", at positions 355 to 786 of the family's 1533-position model. The record is from RNAcentral.